This 233-nucleotide ribosomal RNA is filed under the name uncultured bacterium. Its description in RNAcentral is "partial 16S ribosomal RNA". It matches the Rfam family "Bacterial small subunit ribosomal RNA", at positions 15 to 236 of the family's 1533-position model. The record is from RNAcentral.
GAUCAUGGCUCAGGAUGAACGCUAGCUACAGGCUUAACACAUGCAAGUCGAGGGGAAACGACAUCGAAAGCUUGCUUCCGAUGGGCGUCGACCGGCGCACGGGUGAGUAACGCGUAUCCAACCUGCCCACCACUUGGGGGAUAACCCUUGCGAAAGUAAGACUAAUACCCAAUGAUAUCUCUAGAAGACAUCUGAAAGAGAUUAAAGAUUUAUCGGUGAUGGAUGGGAUGCGU